RNAcentral lists this ribosomal RNA (390 nucleotides) under Triticum aestivum (bread wheat). RNAcentral describes it as "partial small subunit ribosomal RNA". Lineage: Eukaryota; Viridiplantae; Streptophyta; Magnoliopsida; Poales; Poaceae. The record is from RNAcentral.
ACAUUCACUUUAAAUAGGGCACCGUCUAAAUCCGUUGAGGCAACACCGUAUGAAUUAUGGUUUGGGAAGAAAUCUAAGCUGUCGUUUCUAAAAGUUUGGGGAUGCGAUGCUUAUGUCAAGAAACUUCAACCUGAAAAGCUCGAACCCAAGUCGGAAAAAUGCGUCUUCAUAGGAUACCCUAAGGAAACCAUUGGGUAUACCUUCUACCUUAGAUCCGAAGGCAAGAUCUUUGUUGCCAAGAAUGGAUCCUUUCUGGAAAAAGAGUUUCUCUCGAAAGGAGUAAGUGGGAGGAAAGUAGAACUCGAUGAAGUACUACCUCUUGAACCGGAAAGUAGUGCAGCUCAGGAAAAUGUUCCUGUGGUGCCUACACCGACUGGAGAGGAAAUUAAU